RNAcentral lists this ribosomal RNA (468 nucleotides) under uncultured bacterium. RNAcentral's name for it is "partial 16S ribosomal RNA". It matches the Rfam family "Bacterial small subunit ribosomal RNA", at positions 28 to 507 of the family's 1533-position model. The record is from RNAcentral.
GACGAACGCUGGCGGCGUGCUUAACACAUGCGAGUCGAACGGAAAGGCCCUGCUUUUGUGGGGUGCUCGAGUGGCGAACGGGUGAGUAACACGUGAGUAACCUGCCCUUGACUUUGGGAUAACUUCAGGAAACUGGGGCUAAUACCGGAUAGGAGCUCCUGCUGCAUGGUGGGGGUUGGAAAGUUUCGGCGGUUGGGGAUGGACUCGCGGCUUAUCAGCUUGUUGGUGGGGUAGUGGCUUACCAAGGCUUUGACGGGUAGCCGGCCUGAGAGGGUGACCGGCCACAUUGGGACUGAGGUACGGCCCAGACUCCUACGGGAGGCAGCAGGGGGGAAUAUUGCACAGUGGGCGGAAGCCUGAUGCAGCAACGCCGCGUGCGGGAUGACGGCCUGCGGGUUGUAAACCGCUUUCGCCUGUGACGAAGCGUGAGUGACGGUAAUGGGUAAAGAAGCACCGGCUAACUACGUG